This is a long non-coding RNA of Meriones unguiculatus (Mongolian gerbil), 1357 nucleotides long. RefSeq lists it as uncharacterized. The record is from RefSeq and is a predicted model, not a curated record. Lineage: Eukaryota; Metazoa; Chordata; Mammalia; Rodentia; Muridae. The transcript has 3 exons.
GUGCCUGGUACCUAGAACUAACUCUUUGAUACAAAAUGUGUUGGAUGCCAGGCCUGGAGAUGCGGGUGUGUACUCCCAAGCUUCUAGGAAGACCAAGGCAGGGCGAUCUCUAAUUCAGAGAUACGGAGCAAAAUCAAGACAAGGUGUCUUUAUGUAUCCAGCUGGCUUGAGAUCUCCCUGGCCCAUGCACCAGGUGCUGGAAUGAUAAUGGUUUAAGGGAACAUUCUCAUCCACGAUGGCUGACAUUGCCGAGGUCCUCUUCAUGGGCUGACCCAGAAGACAUGUCACAGCCUGGCAGGACUCUUGCCAGCCCAUACACCCUAAAGUCUCUUAUCUGGAAUCCUGAUUCUCUACAAAAGACAUUCAGCACUGAAGAUAUUUCCAGCCACAGUUCCAAAGAUGUUGCAGAGAUGGCCCUAAUUUACUUCACUUUGUAAGAGGGGUGUGUUGCCUGCACGGAUGUAUGUGUGCCACCUGUAUGGAAUGACAACAGAAGUCAGAAGAGAGCAUUAGAUCCCCUGCAACUGCAGUCAAGGAGGGUUGUGAGGCACCGUGUGCGUUCCAGGAACCCAAGCCAGGUCCUAUGCGAUCACUGAGCCAUCCCUCCAGCCCAUAGAUACGAGUUUUUGAUUCACUUUGAUGACUACUUGGUUGCAUGUUAUGACAUAGACAUGUUAUAAUACAGUGUCAUUUUGUACUCCCACCAGCAAUGAAUGAACGCUCCUGUGUCCCACAUCCUUGGGAGCACUUAUUAUCAGUGUUGGGUUUUAGCUACCUUUGUGUGGCAAUUUCCUUCCAGAUUGAAACAUGGCAUCCUCCAGGGAAGCUCCUUAAGAUAGAAAGCAAACAACUCAAAAUGUCUUCAGGAAGUUCCUGAAGCUGACAAGAUUCACUAAGCUCCUCCAUCCCAAGAGUAAACAGUGAAGACUGUAAAACAAACAAACAAAUAAACAACUCUCAGGGGAACCAAACCGCAAAGAAACUCCAAGACCAGCAGAGCAGCCUGGAAGAAGCAGAACCCAGCCAAGCUGCUUGGAAGGGGCUCUGAUCAACUGAACCACUUAGAAAGGACACCUUCCAACCUGUUGAGCUGCCUGCAGCCUGCACAGCAUGCUCCAGCUUCUGCGAGCUCUCACCGUGCUGGGGUGGGCUUUGGUGUUGUGUUUGGGUCACUUCUGUUCCUGUGAGUGACCCUGGUAAAGCUCACUGGUGGACUCUGGAGACAUUUCUACUUUAGUCUGUCACGGGCUGCCCAUCGAGAUGAGUAGACAUGUGUGUUGCAUGUCCCCAGGAAAAGUCUGUCACACAACAGCCAUUAAAAAAGACAUGUCACUGCUAAGGUGAUGUUUUGAAGAUG